Long non-coding RNA from Cercocebus atys (sooty mangabey), 3936 nucleotides. RefSeq lists it as uncharacterized. The record is from RefSeq and is a predicted model, not a curated record. The transcript is spliced from 3 exons. NCBI's taxonomy places the organism in Eukaryota, Metazoa, Chordata, Mammalia, Primates, Cercopithecidae.
GCUGAAUCUGUGGGUGCCUUGAUCUUGGUCUUCCAGCCCCCGCAGCCGUGGGAAGAAACGCCUGCACCGAUAAGCCCCCAGUCUGCGGUACUGCGUCAGAGCAGCCGGACACACCAAGGCCACAGUAAGGGGACUCCACAAACCCAGGCCAGGACGACCUUCCCGUUUACAAGCGCCUCUCGCUUAUUUUGAGAGAAACAAAUUUCCAUACCAAAUAAGGUGGUGGACUUAAGAGCCUCUGCCCACUUCACACAAUUCCUUUUAAGUGUCCAAAUGCAAUUACACUUGGAACUCGCCGGGAUUCAGCCUCCCCCGGCCUCCCCAUGUAAACAAGCGUUCCAGCUGGGCCCCAGCUGGCUGCCCUGGAGAAGAGGGGACGGGUCACCACCCUGCCUGCUGCCUCCAGCCUCUCUCUCAGCCUCAGGCAUGGCCCGUGAGCCUCCAGGAUCCCAGAGUCCCUCCUCAGCCCAUCCCUGAAAAACAGACCCCAGGAGGCCAGCUGGGUCAUGCGGGGAGCAGCGCGAGACUCCCUCUUCCACGGUGAGGUUUGCACGUGGGCAGGACGAGCAGGAGGCGGGCAGCUCCCAGCGCAGGUGCAGAGGCAGCUGUGUUUCUCGUUUCCCUUCAAGAAGCCCACAGAGGCACACCUCUCCCAGUCUGGGCACUACGCUCCUGCUGGGAAAGCUCAGAAUUCCCUUGGGCUUCCUGGACUCUGAGAAAGUUGGCCCAGGGCAGGAGGGGAGCCCUCUCAUCACCCCCUCCUCCUGGCCACCCUGCUGGCUCCUGCACCCCCCACUUUGCACCCCCACCCCUACCAAUGCUCAGUGCCCCAGGCAUGAAUGCGUUCCAGGACUCCCCCCUCCAGGGGCUCAAUGGGGAAGGGGGCCUGACUCAUCCUCCUGCAGAGCAGCACAGGCACCAGGCACCACAGCCCGCCAAUUUCCAGCUUGCUCGCCGAGCGCCGUGAUUUUCCACUUGCGCCAUCUGAUUGCUAUUAGGGCUGGGGAAAAGGGAAUUCCUGGUUCCAUAAGCCCCCAGGGGGCCCACGCCGAGUCCCGGGUGGGAAGGGGGAGGGGUGCCGCUUGGGCGGUGCUGCCCACCUCUGCCAAUUCUGCGCUGCCCCUCCAUGGAGCCCUCGCCCUGCUGCCCCCCCCACCGCUCUGUAUCAGCCCUGAGUAAAUUAAAACAAUGGGGUGGGGCCUAGCCCCUCCUGGGCCAGCCUGCCCCGAAAUGCCCACUGGGGGCGGACCAAAGGCGCCAGGCAAGUGUACAGCUGGUGCUCCCUCUCCUGGGCAGCCUUACCGAGCAGCAGAAUGCGAGGGAGAUGAACAGCUGGACUCGGGCAGCAGUGCUCGGGCCAACGUGACGUCACCAGGCGGAGAGAUGAGUUCCCGGUGGGGCUCUGGGGGGGCUCCUGAGCGGGGCAUUCCUUCCUGAAGCCUCAUCCCUGCUCAGCCCCUCCUCCUACUCCCCUCCCCUCCCCCUCCUGCCGGGCCAGGAAUUGGGUUUGGGGCGGGUUCUGCUUCCAAAGCCAUCUCUUCCAGCAGGCGAGGGCUCUACUCUGAGCUCGCAUUUUCCGAGGCUCCGGCCGUGCUCGGCGCUGGCCUGCUGCCCCGGCGGGUCGGUCGGCCGGAGGCGGGAGCCACAGGAAGAGCCCUCCACAAAAGGAGGCCUCUGCGGACCAGGACAGCUGCAGGUGAGUGUGCAGACCGGUGAGCUGCCAGCAGGGACCCAGACGCGUCAGGCCUGGAGAUGGCUGGAAACUGCUCCUGGGAGGCCCAUCCCGGCAACAGGGACAAGGCAAGUGCCACAGAGGUGGGGCAGUCAGCUACUUACUACAUCCAGGCGGGCCAGGAAGCCCUGGGACGCUGACUCCAAGGUAGCCCUGAUGUCAUGUGUUCCGUGGAGCCCUGUGGGUCCGAGGGCCACCCUGAGAGUGUUGCCCCAGGCCAGGGUCCAUUAGUCAUGAGUCACCCACCCUGAGACUCUGACAAUCCCUCCAGGCUGACCCUCCUCCUACCCUCAGCCAGCCUAGUCCCCUACUUCUCUGAGUCCCUUGAAAAGUCUGGGAUUUCCUUCGCUCUCAACUUGGAAGGAUCUCUUGAAUCCCUGUCCAUCCUCUUCUGCAUUUGAGGAAACUGAGGCUUAUACCCAGGUAGUAACUUGACUGGGAUUAGCCCCUAGGUCAGGAGCAGAGUGGGGACUCCAGCCCAGCCCCCGGGAUCUCGGCCCCACACCCUUGGGCCCUCUCCCUCCUCCCCGUAGUGACCGCUGUGGAGUGGCGGCCGCAGGAGGCAGAGGUUGGACUGGUGGGUGGGGUGGGGCCGUCUGCAGAAACUCCCAGCGCAAAGGCAGAGCUCGGGGUGGGGCCCGGCUCCAGAGCAGGCAUUUUACAAGGCGGUAUGUGGCUGGUCACGGCAGCUACACGCCCAGUGACUCACCCGGCCUCCCCCUCUGACUCCGAGGAGGGGAUUGCAGACUUUUUCCAGCAUGCAUGCAUGCAAGAGGCACUGAGUAAGCUGACCGCCUCCAUCCAGCCCCCUGAAGCCCAGCUCUUUCCCAGCGCCUCAGCUGGUCCUCUUGGGCCUGUUUGGGCACCAGAUCCUAUGGUCUAGUUCCCCAACCCAGAAGCGUGUCCAGGUCACCCACAGGAAAGAGAAGCUAAGGAGUGGGAUUUGGGGCGAACAGACCGGCAGAGAGGUUGAGUCGAUAAAUGCAUUUAAAGAAUGGCAGGGAGGGAGCAGGGCCCCCUUACGGUGCUUGCCCUGACCUCGAAGAGUCUCCCCAGAGGUUUGCUAACGCCUCCAGUCCUGUUUUCAGGCUCCCCUUGACCUGAGCAGGCUGGGAGGUUCCUCCCUUUACAACAGGGUGUCCAACCCCGAGAACAGUCUCUCAGGACCCAGCUUUCUGCCGGAGCUGGGAGUCACCUGAAGGCGGCAGAAUGGAUCCUGCCUUCAUAACCUUGUCUUUUGUUUUGUUAGGGAGCCCCGAGCAGUGGGAACAGAAGCCAGGCUUGUGGGGGAGACGCUGGAUAUGGGAAGGGGAGUGACCGUUCUCCAGGCAGGCAGCCUUUGCCUCUGGGAGGAGAGGUCGGAGGGGACCGCCUGAGAACAGCAGCCGGCCUGUAGAGAGAUGGGCUGUUUGGCCCGCACAGCGUGUUUAAAUGUUAACAUUUAAAGAUCGGGUAUUUCACAUUCCAGUCUAGAGUUCAGGCUUCUCUUCAGGGAGCGGGGGAGGACCAUCAGCCACUCCAGCCCACCCAACCCCUGGCCCCCACUGGCUGGAGCACAGCAGGCCGCCCCCUUCACUCUCGAGAGGGGCUCUCGGGUUUGCCACUGUGCCCCCCUUAUCUAUUCCUUGCACCUGGCCCACCUGCAUGCAUUUAUACAGAAGCCUAGACGCUGAGGGCAGGACGGAUACUCCGCUGGGAUGCACUCUUACAGUCACACCAACGGUUCAAGUAUCGAAAUGCUUCCCUGCAGCUUGAUAAACAGCUGCUGCCUCUCCCCCACCCCAGGGACCCCCCGGACUUUCCCACAAUCUGGAAACCCCAAGGGCAACCCUGGCUCAUCAGGGAGCCACCUCUCAUCCCACUAGAGGACAGGGUCCGGCUUCGGGGAAGGCCGAGGUCCACUUGUUUUUUUUUUUUUUUUUUUUCUUUAAAUGUAACUUACAAGUGAUUUUAUUUCUUCAAAUAGUUUCGUGUUUUUUGAAACCUUGCAAGAUUUUGCAAGAAUAGUACAAUACCCACCAAUACUUCACCUCAGCUCAGCCAUCAUUAAACCUUCACCGCAAGUGCUUUCUCUGUAUCUCCUGACAGAUAGACUUUUUCCCAGAAUGAUUUGAAAGUAAAUUGCAAGACUGGGCCCAGUGGCUCACGCCUGCAAUCCCAGCACUUUGGGAGGCCAAGGCAGGCAGAUUACCUGAGGUCAAGAG